CGGGCUGUGGCGCAGCUUGGUAGCGCGUCUGCUUUGGGAGCAGAAUGUCGCAGGUUCAAAUCCUGUCAGCCCGACC
This 76-nucleotide transfer RNA is filed under the name Bifidobacterium animalis. RNAcentral describes it as "tRNA-Pro". It matches the Rfam family "tRNA". Rfam says of the family: Transfer RNA (tRNA) molecules are approximately 80 nucleotides in length. Their secondary structure includes four short double-helical elements and three loops (D, anti-codon, and T loops). Further hydrogen bonds mediate the characteristic L-shaped molecular structure. tRNAs have two regions of fundamental functional importance: the anti-codon, which is responsible for specific mRNA codon recognition, and the 3' end, to which the tRNAs corresponding amino acid is attached (by aminoacyl-tRNA synthetases). tRNAs cope with the degeneracy of the genetic code in two manners: having more than one tRNA (with a specific anti-codon) for a particular amino acid; and 'wobble' base-pairing, i.e. permitting non-standard base-pairing at the 3rd anti-codon position. RNAcentral also lists the same sequence under 1 other name. Lineage: Bacteria; Bacillati; Actinomycetota; Actinomycetes; Bifidobacteriales; Bifidobacteriaceae. The record is from RNAcentral.